Molecule: ribosomal RNA, 324 nt
Filed under: uncultured eukaryote
Lineage: Eukaryota
Description: partial 18S ribosomal RNA
Rfam family: Eukaryotic small subunit ribosomal RNA
Source: RNAcentral
CCCUUAGAUGUUCUGGGCCGCACGCGCGCUACACUGAUGCAUUCAACGAGUUUCUUCCUGGUCCGAGAGGAAUGGGUAACCUUUUGAAAGUGCAUCGUGAUAGGAAUAGACUAUUGCAAUUAUUGGUCUUCAACGAGGAAUUCCUAGUAGACGUAGUUCAUCAGACUGCAUCGAUUACGUCCCUGCCCUUUGUACACACCGCCCGUCGCUCCUACCGAUUGAAUGCUCAGGUGAGCCAUUCGGACUUUCAUCAUGCUGGUUUCCAGUUUUGAUGAAGGAAAGUCUUGCGAACCUUAUCAUUUAGAGGAAGGAGAAGUCGUAACA